UAGGGAAUCUUCGGCAAUGGACGAAAGUCUGACCGAGCAACGCCGCGUGAGUGAAGAAGGUUUUCGGAUCGUAAAACUCUGUUGUUAGAGAAGAACAAGGACGUUAGUAACUGAACGUCCCCUGACGGUAUCUAACCAGAAAGCCACGGCUAACUACGUGCCAGCAGCCGCGGUAAUACGUAGGUGGCAAGCGUUGUCCGGAUUUAUUGGGCGUAAAGCGAGCGCAGGCGGUUUCUUAAGUCUGAUGUGAAAGCCCCCGGCUCAACCGGGGAGGGUCAUUGGAAACUGGGAGACUUGAGUGCAGAAGAGGGGAGUGGAAUUCCAUGUGUAGCGGUGAAAUGCGUAGAUAUAUGGAGGAACACCAGUGGCGAAGGCGGCUCUCUGGUCUGUAACUGACGCUGAGGCGCGAAAGCGUGGGGAGCAAACAGG
RNAcentral lists this ribosomal RNA (429 nucleotides) under Gemmatimonadota bacterium. RNAcentral's name for it is "Gemmatimonadetes bacterium partial 16S ribosomal RNA". It matches the Rfam family "Bacterial small subunit ribosomal RNA", at positions 355 to 776 of the family's 1533-position model. Lineage: Bacteria; Pseudomonadati; Gemmatimonadota. The record is from RNAcentral.